This 440-nucleotide ribosomal RNA is filed under the name uncultured bacterium. RNAcentral describes it as "bacterial SSU rRNA". It matches the Rfam family "Bacterial small subunit ribosomal RNA", at positions 339 to 796 of the family's 1533-position model. The record is from RNAcentral.
GUACGGAAGGCAGCAGUGAGGAAUAUUGGACAAUGGGGGCAACCCUGAUCCAGCAAUGCCGCGUGAGUGAUGAAGGCCUUAGGGUUGUAAAGCUCUUUUGGCGGGGACGAUGAUGACGGUACCCGCAGAAUAAGCCCCGGCUAACUUCGUGCCAGCAGCCGCGGUAAUGCGAAGGGGGCGAGCGUUGUUCGGAAUUACUGGGCGUAAAGGGCGCGUAGGCGGCGACCCAAGUCAGAUGUGAAAGUCCUGGGCUUAACCUGGGGACUGCAUUUGAUACUGGGUUGCUUGAAUUCGGGAGAGGAUAGCGGAAUUCCCAGUGUAGAGGUGAAAUUCGUAGAUAUUGGGAAGAACACCGGUGGCGAAGGCGGCUAUCUGGACCGACAUUGACGCUGAGGCGCGAAAGCGUGGGGAGCAAACAGGAUUAGAAACCCCGGUAGUCC